CGUAACAAGGUCUCCGUUGGUGAACCAGCGGAGGGAUCAUUACCGAGUUUACAACUCCCAAACCCCUGUGAACAUACCUUAUGUUGCCUCGGCGGAUCAGCCCGCGCCCCGUAAAAAGGGACGGCCCGCCGCAGGAACCCUAAACUCUGUUUUUAGUGGAACUUCUGAGUAUAAAAAACAAAUAAAUCAAAACUUUCAACAACGGAUCUCUUGGUUCUGGCAUCGAUGAAGAACGCAGCAAAAUGCGAUAAGUAAUGUGAAUUGCAGAAUUCAGUGAAUCAUCGAAUCUUUGAACGCACAUUGCGCCCGCCAGUAUUCUGGCGGGCAUGCCUGUUCGAGCGUCAUUUCAACCCUCAAGCCCAGCUUGGUGUUGGGAGCUGCAGUCCUGCUGCACUCCCCAAAUACAUUGGCGGUCACGUCGAGCUUCCAUAGCGUAGUAAUUUACACAUCGUUACUGGUAAUCGUCGCGGCCACGCCGUUAAACCCCAACUUCUGAAUGUUGACCUCGGAUCAGGUAGGAAUACCCGCUGAACUUAAGCAUAUCAA
This 546-nucleotide ribosomal RNA is filed under the name Fusarium graminearum. Its description in RNAcentral is "eukaryotic LSU rRNA". The stretch from base 191 to 344 matches the Rfam family "5.8S ribosomal RNA". The record is from RNAcentral. Lineage: Eukaryota; Fungi; Ascomycota; Sordariomycetes; Hypocreales; Nectriaceae.